UUUGGAGUAUACAAGAUGCGUCGUAAAUCGACAUCUUGUCGAUUUACGCACAUCGUG
Molecule: small RNA, 57 nt
Filed under: Caenorhabditis elegans
Lineage: Eukaryota; Metazoa; Nematoda; Chromadorea; Rhabditida; Rhabditidae
Description: Unclassified non-coding RNA F57A10.7
Source: RNAcentral